RNAcentral lists this ribosomal RNA (266 nucleotides) under Exanthemachrysis gayraliae. RNAcentral describes it as "partial Bacterial small subunit ribosomal RNA". It matches the Rfam family "Bacterial small subunit ribosomal RNA", at positions 519 to 784 of the family's 1533-position model. Lineage: Eukaryota; Haptophyta; Pavlovophyceae; Pavlovales; Pavlovaceae. The record is from RNAcentral.
GGUAAUACGGAGGGUGCAAGCGUUAAUCGGAAUUACUGGGCGUAAAGCGCGCGUAGGUGGUUUGAUAAGCGAGAUGUGAAAGCCCCGGGCUUAACCUGGGAACGGCAUUUCGAACUGUCAGGCUAGAGUAUGGUAGAGGGUAGUGGAAUUUCCUGUGUAGCGGUGAAAUGCGUAGAUAUAGGAAGGAACACCAGUGGCGAAGGCGGCUCACUGGCUCGAUACUGACGCUGAGGUGCGAAAGUGUGGGGAGCAAACAGGAUUAGAUA